This 3721-nucleotide unclassified non-coding RNA is filed under the name Hevea brasiliensis (rubber tree). The record is from RNAcentral. Lineage: Eukaryota; Viridiplantae; Streptophyta; Magnoliopsida; Malpighiales; Euphorbiaceae.
GCAUAGAAAUACCUAGUGAUGGAAUUGAUGUCUGGGAAAUUGAUACCAAUCAGUUAAAAAUUGAAAACAAAGUGGCAUCUGGAUCAUACGGUGAUCUGUACAGAGGCACAUAUUGCAGUCAGGAAGUUGCCAUCAAAAUCCUCAAGCCUGAGCGUGUCAGUGCAGAAAUGCUUAGAGAGUUCUCCCAAGAAGUUUAUAUAAUGAGGUUUGUCAUAAUGAUUGAGAGAAGUGACAGCAGCCAUUUCUAAAAAUCAUUGUUUAUGUACUCGAUUAGAUCUUUUAUGCUUUGAUACUUAAAAAAGAAAAGAAAAUAGAAGCUAAAAAAACACUUUUUAGACUAUGCAAUUGUCUUCAGAUGCUUACUGAAAGUUCCUUUUGCAAGCAAUGAUCUGCACGACAUGUCUAUUUAUCAGUUUCUCUUCAGAGAACUUUGGCGGUGUGAAGUCUCGAUGUUCUUAAUUUUUAUGAAUACUAUAACUUUAUUGAGCAAGUGGUAUUAUACUUGAUUACCAAAGAGGGAGGUCUCACCAGUGAUGCUCCUGAAGGGGGACUCAUUUGACUCAAAUUUUUAGUAUUCUUGUAUGCUUUGCUGCGUUCUUUAGGGAUUUGCAUAUGAUGCAUUCUUCUUGCUUUUCGUUACAUGAGGAAAUUCUGGUCUGUGCUUCCUUCUGUUUUCACUGGUACUUUGUUUUCUGCAAUUACUUAUUUUGUUAGCACUUUGCAGGAAAAUUCGGCAUAAGAAUGUCGUACAAUUCAUAGGUGCAUGCACUCAACCUCCAAACCUGUGCAUUGUGACUGAGUUCAUGGCUAGAGGAAGUAUAUAUGAUUUUCUUCAUAAACAGAAGGGUGUGUUUAAGCUUUCAUCCUUAAUCAAAGUGGCAACUGAUGUGUCCAGGGGAAUGAAUUAUCUUCACCAAAAUAAUAUAAUUCACAGGGACCUGAAAACUGCCAAUCUUCUUAUGGAUGAAAAUGAAGUUGUUAAGGUUGCUGAUUUUGGGGUUGCCAGAGUGCAAACUCAAUCUGGAGUAAUGACAGCUGAAACCGGAACAUACCGUUGGAUGGCUCCUGAGAGAAUGCUGUGGUUUCUCCAUUAUGAGAAAACAGAGAAUGCUGUGGUUUCCCCAUUAUAAGAGAAAAUUGUAUAAUAGCUGCAAAAAUGAUGUACAACCAAAUCAACAAGAACAAAAGAAACAAUUUUGUGGAGGAAGUUGAUUGUUCUUAUUCAAUCAUCAGUAUUGACUAACGAGAGUCUACAAGGCUUCAUUUUGGUGCACCAUAGCAAUUGCAAUCAUACAUAGAAAAAUCCAAAUAAAACUCAUAAAUAGUAAAAAAUUUAUAACAAAAAUCUAAAUAAUCAACAUUACUAAUUAAUAUAAAUAAUUCUUUUAUUUUUUUCUUUUCUUUAUCAUCUUAUAUUUACCUACAGUGGCUUCACUUGUAUGAAGGUGAUUGAACACAAACCAUAUGAUCAUAAGGCUGAUGUUUUCAGCUUUGCAAUAGUAUUAUGGGAACUUCUAACAGGAGAAGUAAGGCCUGCAUCCUUUAAGGAAGUUUUUAGAUGUCAAUAUUGCAUCAUUUUCUUGCCUCACAUGAAUUUGUAGUUUUUGAUGGCACAACUCUUAUCUCUUGUUAAUUAUUAUAUUUUAUGACUGAAAUCUCAGCUUCCUUACUCGUACUUGACCCCAUUGCAAGCAGCAGUAGGCGUGGUGCAAAAGGUAUAUGUGUUAUUUUCACGCUAAGAUGAAACAAAAACAAUUCUCUCAUGUUGAUUUUAACUUUCUUUAGGGUCUACGGCCUACAAUCCCCAAGAACACUCAUCCAAAACUUGCAGAACUUCUUGAGAGAUGCUGGCGACAAAAUCCAAAUCAGAGACCCAGCUUCUCUGAAAUUAUAGAUAUCCUUAAGCAAAUAGCCAAAGAGGUCACAAAUGAGAGGGAAGGUCGACACAAGGAUAAAUCAUCAGGUGGCUUUUUUUCAGCACUGAUAAGGGGUCACUAAGUUGGAAGAAGACAGUAGCUGUUAAUAGUGCAUUCAUGUGCAGGCAAUUUUCCUUCUUACGUACAUUCUAAUUGUACAAAUGCUUUUAUCCAACUCAGUUUUAGCUUUAUUUUGCCGCUUUUCUUUUCUUCAUUGUAAAUAGGAUUUAGUAUGUUUCAUGCAUCUUUUUUUUCCUCCUCCAUCUGUCCUCUUCGUUUUCUCCUCUUACCGCAUACAUAGGAUGAUCUAAAUUGGAAAACAACUGAAACUAGUAUUGCACCAAACAUUGGAUUGGUUGUUAAUAAGUAGAAAAUCUGCUAUGUAAUAUACUAGAGGACUAGGUGUAAAGCAAAAUUAACUUGUAUAUGGAUCUAAUCCUGUAGAAAAUAAAUUUUAGAAUCCAUGCCCCUAUCCUCCGAAGAACUCGAAUGAAGAAUAACUUUUAAUUUUGGACAAGGAAAGAUCUAACUCUAUGCAUAGGAAAACCAGGAAGCCAAACUAUGGCUAAAUGGACCUCCUUAUUCUGAAGGGGAAAAGCCUUUAUUGACUAAAAUAGAAGAAGAGAGCAAGAAGACGAAAAAAGAACUGUUUCCAGGCAAAAUCAGCCUGAAAUAAUACUCCUUCACGGAGUUGCAUGGAUGGUACUAGAGGCAAGAGAACAAAAAAGGGCAAAAGGUGAUAUUCAUACAGCAUAUUUGGAAGUCUCUUCUAUGUACAUGAGUAAUAGGAAUUAAAAUCAAGAGUAAUAAAUAGGAAUUAGAAUCAGGAAACAAGAAUAGUAUUUGCAGAAAAUGGACAAAUUUAUCAAGAAUAUUAAUUAAUUAAUUCCUGCCUACAUAUUUGAUUUGCUUGAGAAAGCCAAUCCUUCGAUUAUAAAUGUGGAUGCAUGUUACACAAGGUAUGGGAUGCUAGAGAAAGCACUGUGAAUUGUAAAUUGUGUUUGUCUAGUUAUAUCAGUUAAUUUUCGCAUAAGCCAAGGAGUUGGAGCUGCCUUGCUCUGACUCGUACCUGCAAUCGGACAAGUGCCUGCAUGCAAUGCAAAGCUAUACGAUUUUGUUUCCUCACAUGCACCCCUCGAACUAAUGCUUUCACCAGGCUUCUAAGUGCUCUAAAUGCUCGUCUUGCCUGUUCAGAUUACAAAAUACAUUAAACCAUAAAGAAAAUUGCCAAUGAAAGAGAAAAAAUUGCAGUAUAUAUUAGACAGCCUACGAGAUGACCCCUAAAAUUUGCUUGGAUUUUUAUGGCAGCUAUGUCUUCUUUUGAUAGUUGUUUCAUUGAAAUCAGUGAAAUUUCAGUAAUUAAUUCCUCAUAAAUGGCUGUUUCAUCUGUUUUUGUCUCAACAAGAGGACUAGAGCAAGCAUUGGAAUGAAGAACAAUAGUGUUUCCAUGAGAUGACGAUUUGACGAAUGUUCGUCGGAGCAUUUCGAAGUCGAACCAUUUUCGAGAUGUUCUCAAGCUUGUCAUCUCUCAGCUAUUUUCUGUUGGAAGGUGGCAGAUUUAAUGUUGUCCACCUGCAAAAACCUCUCAAAGAAGACGCGUAAAAAGUAAGAGCAGGAGAUGUGGGAACCAUGUUUGAUUGUUUUUGGUUUACUUGGCGAAAUGGGUGUCAAACUCGAAACGUGGGCGGACGAAUUUUUGUGUGAUGCCACUUUGAAGCUUUCUUCGGCUUUACAAACUCUCUAGAGCUUUCCAUGGAGAAGAAAAAUCAAAACCAUCAUUACCAAACAAAAAAAAAAUGUGUGAA